UGGUAGUCCAUGCCGUAAACGUUGGGCACUAGGUGUGGGGACCAUUCCACGGUUUCCGCGCCGCAGCUAACGCAUUAAGUGCCCCGCCUGGGGAGUACGGCCGCAAGGCUAAAACUCAAAGGAAUUGACGGGGGCCCGCACAAGCGGCGGAGCAUGCGGAUUAAUUCGAUGCAACGCGAAGAACCUUACCAAGGCUUGACAUGUUCUCGAUCGCCGUAGAGAUACGGUUUCCCCUUUGGGGCGGGUUCACAGGUGGUGCAUGGUUGUCGUCAGCUCGUGUCGUGAGAUGUUGGGUUAAGUCCCGCAACGAGCGCAACCCUCGUUCCAUGUUGCCAGCACGUCGUGGUGGGGACUCAUGGGAGACUGCCGGGGUCAACUCGGAGGAAGGUGAGGACGACGUCAAAUCAUCAUGCCCCUUAUGUCUUGGGCUUCACGCAUGCUACAAUGGCCGGUACAAUGGGUUGCGAUACUGUGAGGUGGAGCUAAUCCCAAAAAGCCGGUCUCAGUUCGGAUUGGGGUCUGCAACUCGACCCCAUGAAGUCGGAGUCGCUAGUAAUCGCAGAUCAGCAACGCUGCGGUGAAUACGUUCCCGGGCCUUGUACACACCGCCCGUCAAGUCACGAAAGUUGGUAACACCCGAAGCCGGUGGCCUAACCCUUGUGGG
Molecule: ribosomal RNA, 664 nt
Filed under: Micrococcus sp. V3
Lineage: Bacteria; Bacillati; Actinomycetota; Actinomycetes; Micrococcales; Micrococcaceae
Description: bacterial SSU rRNA
Rfam family: Bacterial small subunit ribosomal RNA
Source: RNAcentral